AACGCACCUUGCGCCCCUUGGCAUUCCGAGGGGCACACCCGUUUGAGUGUCGUGAAAUCUUCAAAAACCCUCUCUUUUGAGGUUUUUUGGACUUGGAGGUUCAAUGCUCGCUUUCUUCUUUUAGGAAGCGAGCUCCUCUCAAAUGAAUCAGUGGGGUUUGCUUUGCCGGUCCUUGACGUGAUAAGAUGUUUCUGCGUUUUGGAUUCGACAUCGUCCCGCUCCCAAUCGUCCCACGGACAAAAGGAUGGUGCUCCGGUCGCGGGUCAUCGCUCGCGGCUGGACCCACGAAAAAAACCUUGACCUCAAAUCGGGUGAGACUACCCGCUGAACUUAA
Molecule: unclassified non-coding RNA, 334 nt
Filed under: uncultured Russula
Lineage: Eukaryota; Fungi; Basidiomycota; Agaricomycetes; Russulales; Russulaceae
Description: partial contains 5.8S ribosomal RNA, internal transcribed spacer 2, and large subunit ribosomal RNA
Source: RNAcentral